This 425-nucleotide ribosomal RNA is filed under the name uncultured bacterium. RNAcentral describes it as "partial 16S ribosomal RNA". It matches the Rfam family "Bacterial small subunit ribosomal RNA", at positions 354 to 796 of the family's 1533-position model. The record is from RNAcentral.
GUGGGGAAUAUUGGACAAUGGGCGAAAGCCUGAUCCAGCAAUGCCGCGUGAGUGAUGAAGGCCCUAGGGUUGUAAAGCUCUUUUACCCGGGAUGAUAAUGACAGUACCGGGAGAAUAAGCUCCGGCUAACUCCGUGCCAGCAGCCGCGGUAAUACGGAGGGAGCUAGCGUUGUUCGGAAUUACUGGGCGUAAAGCGGGCGUAGGCGGUUUUGCAAGUCAGGGGUGAAAGCCCGGGGCUCAACCCCGGAAUAGGCCUUGAAACUGGAAGACUAGAAGCGUGGAGAGGUCAGUGGAAUUCCGAGUGUAGAGGUGAAAUUCGUAGAUAUUCGGAAGAACACCAGUGGCGAAGGCGACUGACUGGACAAGUAUUGACGCUGAGGUGCGAAAGCGUGGGGAGCAAACAGGAUUAGAUACCCGGGUAGUCC